Molecule: ribosomal RNA, 497 nt
Filed under: uncultured bacterium
Lineage: Bacteria
Description: partial 16S ribosomal RNA
Rfam family: Bacterial small subunit ribosomal RNA
Source: RNAcentral
GAUGAACGCUGGCGGCGUGCCUAAUACAUGCAAGUCGAGCGAACAGACGAGGAGCUUGCUCCUCUGAUGUUAGCGGCGGACGGGUGAGUAACACGGGGAUAACCUACCUAUAAGACUGGGAUAACUUCGGGAAACCGGAGCUAAUACCGGAUAACAUGUUGAACCGCAUGGUUCAACAGUGAAAGACGGUCUUGCUGUCACUUAUAGAUGGAUCCGCGCCGCAUUAGGUAGUUGGUAAGGUAACGGCCUAACAAGGCAACGAUGCGUAGCCGACCGGAGAGGGUGACCGGCCCCCCUGGAACUGAGACCCGGUCCAGACUCCUACGGGAGGCAGCAGUAGGGAAUCUUCCGCAAUGGGCGAAAGCCUGACGGAGCAACGCCGCGUGAGUGAAGAAGGUCUUCGGAUCGUAAACCUCUGUUAUUAGGGAAGAACAAAUGUGUAAGUAACUAUGCACGUCUUGACGGUACCUAAUCAGAAAGCCACGGCUAACUACGUG